Molecule: long non-coding RNA, 828 nt
Organism: Bos taurus (domestic cattle)
Lineage: Eukaryota; Metazoa; Chordata; Mammalia; Artiodactyla; Bovidae
Source: Ensembl
AGGGCUCACCCCCUCUUCCCCCUGGCUCCAAGCUAAGGUGCUUUACAUCAGGAACUUCACUUCAUUCUUACAACUGCCCUGAAAGCCAGGACUGUUUUCCCACUGGGGCUCAGAGAGGUUCUGUCACUUGCCCAGGGUCACACAGCUACGUGGUAAGGAGUGAUGAGGCAAAGGCUGCUCUGUUCUUUCUAUUUGGUUUCUAGCUUAGGUUGCAUUUAGGGCUCAGCCACAGAAGCACAGCAUUUUUGAGCUGGAGGGGGCAGACUCUGGAGAAGUCCAGCUUGUCUGUGGUCAAAGCCCAGCAGGACGCAGAGGCGAGCUGGACUCUGUUGGGAGGCACAGACACGGUUCUCCCUGCUACACGGGGACAACAGUGGACACCCAAAACGUUCAACCCUCAAAGCAGCAGCCCACGAGAGACGUCUGCUGAGAGCAUCCCACAGAAGACGCAGUCAAGUCCAGGCAGAGAAUCUGGAUACGGAAGAGUGGACAAGGCAGACCUACACCUUCAACUGCACGCUCAGCACCUCCUCCCCAGCCUCCCCGUCUUGCGGAAAGGCACCCCAAACGCCCAGCUGCUAGUACCAAAAAUCUGGGGGUCUUCCUGACUCAGGGAUCGAACCUGCGUCUCCUGCAUCUCCUACGCUGGCAAGCGGAUUCCUUAGUACUGAGCCAUCUAGGAAGCCCCAAUUUGAUUGCUCUUCACCAUUUCCACUCCCGCAGCGGGGCAGCUCAUCUCCCCUCUAUGGACUACUGCAGUAGCCUAUCAUAUUAUAUCAAUAUGCGUGCCCCUCCAUUCCCUGCUUGUGAAACCGGUUACCUUAGAUU